AACGCACCUUGCGCUCCUUGGUAUUCCGAGGAGCAUGCCUGUUUGAGUGUCAUGAAAUUCUCAACCUCUCUGGCUUUCACAAGCCAGUCAGGCUUGGAUUGUGGGAGUUGCAGGCUUUUUUUUCUGAGUCAGCUCUCCUUAAAUGUGUUAGCAGAAUCAUUUGCUGGAUCGUCUUUGAUAUGAUAACUAUUUAUAUCAUUAAACACUGGCUUGGAUUCAGCUUCUAACAGUCCUUUCCAUGGACCACUUGACUGAACACUUUGACCUCAAAUCAGGUAGGACUACCCGCUGAACUUAA
Molecule: unclassified non-coding RNA, 298 nt
Filed under: uncultured fungus
Lineage: Eukaryota; Fungi
Description: partial contains 5.8S ribosomal RNA, internal transcribed spacer 2, and large subunit ribosomal RNA
Rfam family: 5.8S ribosomal RNA (bases 1-52)
Source: RNAcentral